This 406-nucleotide ribosomal RNA is filed under the name uncultured bacterium. RNAcentral describes it as "partial 16S ribosomal RNA". It matches the Rfam family "Bacterial small subunit ribosomal RNA", at positions 30 to 526 of the family's 1533-position model. The record is from RNAcentral.
AUUGAACGCUGGCGGCAGGCUUAACACAUGCAAGUCGAGCGAGCGGCGGACGGGUGAGUAAUGUAUGGGAACCUGCCUGUUGGAGGGGGAUAACUACUGGAAACGGUAGCUAAUACCGCAUACCAUCAGAUCUGCCCAGAUGGGAUUAGCUAGUUGGUGGGGUAAUGGCUCACCUAGGCGACGAUCCCUAGCUGGUCUGAGAGGAGGACCAGCCACACUGGAACUGAGACACGGUCCAGACUCCUACGGGAGGCAGCAGUGGGGAAUAUUGCACAAUGGGCGCAAGCCUGAUGCAGCCAUGCCGCGUGUGUGAAGAAGGCCUUCGGGUUGUAAAGCACUUUCAGCGAGGAGGCGUUACCCGCAGAAGAAGCACCGGCUAACUCCGUGCCAGCAGCCGCGGUAAUUC